Acanthochromis polyacanthus (spiny chromis) is the source of this 987-nucleotide long non-coding RNA. RefSeq lists it as uncharacterized. The record is from RefSeq and is a predicted model, not a curated record. Lineage: Eukaryota; Metazoa; Chordata; Actinopteri; Pomacentridae. The transcript has 2 exons.
UUGCUGGUGUUCAGCUGCUGCGCUGGCUGUGUUUCUGACAGACGUAGCGUAGCUUGGUGGAGCAGUGCAGGUCGUUGAGGCGUCCGUCAAAGUGAAGAUGAGCACAGUCUUCGUCUCCGGGACCGAGACCGUGAGCCGUCCAGCUGUCCGGCUGACCUGGUUUCCAGCGCCUGGAAACACAAACAAACAACACAAACAAAACAAACACAAGUUUCAGGUCCAACAUGUUGCCCCUCAGCGGUCCAUAAAGUCAUGAAACCUCAGUGAAACCUGAGUUCACUCACUGCUGGCUGCCAGGGCGAUGAUCAGGACGAGGACGAGCGUCGCCGUGGCAGCCGGAAACAUCCAGCGUCUGUAUCCGUGGACGGACAGGACGACGGGCCGAGGCUCUGACGGACAGACGGACAACAGACAGAAAGGUGGUGUGAGGUCACGGUGGGCUGCUUCCUGGUUCUGGUGUCCAGGUGUGUUCAGGUACCUUUGUUCCAGAAGGAGCUGCUGUCGUCCUCCACGUCGUCAUGGUAUUCAGUCGUCAUGGCGAUGUCUCCGUUCCGUCUUCUAACAGACUGUCGAAUGUCCAAACAGAGCCGCAGGUCGUCGGCCUCCAAGCGCACUUUGAACUGGAAAACACCGAGUGUCCCACUGUGUGUUUGUGUGUCUGAAGUUCAGUGAGUGUGGAGAGUUUAACAUCAACACAGCGUUUACCGUCCAGCUGUUUGCCACAUUAGUGUUUGGUGUGUGUCAGUUAGUGUCUAUCUCUUUGGUCUUUGGUUUGUGGUUGUUUUGGAUCUUUUUGUAGUUUUUUGUGUCUCUGUGGUUGUGUUCAUUUAAGGUCAGAUAUCUCUAUUUGUGGCCAGUAGUGUUUUGUUUUUAGCUCUGUGCAACAACAGACAGCCUGACGGAAGAACAAAAAGUGAACAAGUCAUAAAUGUAGAAACAUUCCUGAUACUACUUCAUACAUCUUUAUAAAUCACUCUACAUGUUUUA